RNAcentral lists this ribosomal RNA (406 nucleotides) under uncultured bacterium. RNAcentral describes it as "partial 16S ribosomal RNA". It matches the Rfam family "Bacterial small subunit ribosomal RNA", at positions 30 to 526 of the family's 1533-position model. The record is from RNAcentral.
AUUGAAAGCUGGCGGUAGGCCUAACACAUGCAAGUCGAACGAGAGGCUGACGGGUGAGUAAUGACUGGGAAACUGCCCGAUGGAGGGGGAUAACUAAUGGAAACGGUAGCUAAUACCGCAUACCAUCGGAUGUGCCCAGAUGGGAUUAGCUAGUAGGUGGGGUAACGGCUCACCUAGGCGACGAUCCCUAGCUGGUCUGAGAGGAUGAACAGCCACACUGGAACUGAGACACGGUCCAGACUCCUACGGGAGGCAGCAGUGGGGAAUAUUUCACAAUGGGCGCAAGCCUGAUGCAGCCAUGCCGCGUGUAUGAAGAAGGCCUUCGGGUUGUAAAGUACUUUCAGCGGGGAGGUGUUACCCGCAGAAGAAGCACCGGCUAACUCCGUGCCAGCAGCCGCGGUAAUUC